RNAcentral lists this long non-coding RNA (2021 nucleotides) under Lynx pardinus (Iberian lynx). Lineage: Eukaryota; Metazoa; Chordata; Mammalia; Carnivora; Felidae. The record is from RNAcentral.
GGUCCCCAGGUCCUGCUGACUCCAUGUGGCUCCUUAUACCCAAGGAUGGCCAGGAGCUUCUGAUGCACAGGGCUGAAGCCAGAACCAGUAGAAAGAAGUGACCAGACCCUUCAAGAGAACACGGCAGAAGCAGGGUGGCCACGGCUGAUGGCAAAGGUAACUCUGGGCAGAGAGAGCUCAUGGUUCAGGGCCAGGCCAAACGCAGGACCCAUGGGAGGAUGUGCCACCCCAAAGAGGGGAAGACCAAGGAUGGCAAGGGCAGCUUCAGGGUGAAAAGCAUAGCAGAAUUAAGUAUGGCUGACACAGCCAUCAAUGACACAGUCCCAGCCAGUGCCGUGCACUCAGGGCAACUGGGAAUUAGCAACCAAAGUAGGCAGUGCACCCAGUCUCCUUCCAUGCAUGGCUGGGCCCAGCCGUCAAAGCUGGGCUAUUGAUUGGGAAGGAAGUUGGCCCUGGAAAUUGGGAUGGAGGUUGUGGGCAGGUAGGAAAGCUGGGGGGCCUCAAACCCCUUUGUUGCACUGGCUGUUUUGCCAGAAAAGCCCCCUUUGGUCCCUGCCUGAAGAGGUCAGUCCUUCUUUACCUAAAGGACCUGGAAGGGCUUCCCCUGGGUCAGGGUCCAUGUGGGAUACUCAGGACCAGCUCCCCCACCUCACAGCUUGCCUUAUAACUAAACUCAGGCCCCAGGAGGCCCCAAAGGGUGAGGUACAAAGUGUGGCCCGUGAUGAAGUGGCAGUGCUCCAGAAGACCCUCAUGCAGACAGAAAUCUGGAGAACACGUGUGGGAUCCAGGUGGCAGGAAUAUGAGAUGCAUGAGGCCAAACCCAUUGAAACAGGGCCACUAACAGAGGGUCUGGACUCACUGCAGCCUGAGGAGUUAGAAAGGACCCCAGGGUUUGGUUGCUUGGUUGAAACAUGGACCACAAGGCAGGUUUGCUAAGUGCAGUUGAAAUGCCAGAACAACCUCCGUGUACUGCAGAGGGAAUGACCUGAGGGCUCAGGGGGAUUGGGGUGCUCUAGGGCACUUACCACUGAGACCUGCUCACCCUCCACAAGAGGGGCUGGAGCAUGUGCCUUUCCCCAUGUCUUGGAGGAAUACAUCCACAAGGGGAGCCCAGCGUCCUUGAAGAGCUCUGUGGUCUCUCUUCUCUGCAGGUCAGUUGGAGCCACUGCCACAGAGCAAGGAUCUCUAAAUGCAGUGGAGUCCGUGGAUCUCAGAGUGGCAAGGCCUAGUGGUGGCACUUCAUGACCCAAGACAUGGUAGGUGUGGUUGUGUGGUGGGCAGCGGGACCACUGCAGCCACCAGCAGCCAGACUCACAGAGGUGCAGGUGUGGGCUGGUGGCCUUGGGGCCCUGGAAGUGGAGCUGAUGGGAAGCCUACUCAAAUCUGGCUUGGUCUGCUUGAGCGGAAGCGUUCUGGAUCUAGCAGACAGAUGUCUGACCCAGGCCACCAAAACAGAGGCACAGCCCCUCCAUCACAGACCCAGGCCUUGUGAGGAAAGAUCGCACUGCACUGCUGACCACGUAUACUUCGGAUCUUCUGCCCAGCCUCCCCAGUGACCUACGGCUACUCCCGAGGGGACGGCACACUGUUGGAGCUCACUGACAGCCCUGCCUGGGGACUGGCUUACCCACAUGGGCCCUGUUGGACAGAGGUGCUGUCCUCUGGCACCUUUGGGAGGGACCACGCUGGCCCCAGAGUGUCCUGUGGCCAGGCUACCAGAUGUUGGGGGACCCAUCUAGAGGGAUCUCCACAUCAUGAAUAUCCGAAGGAGAGGCUCUGUUUAGGCUGCAGGCACUUGAACCUCACCAGACAUGAGGGGAACUGCCGAGUGAGCCACAUUCGGGGUGCUCCUCACAAGGAGGCUGUCAGGUCAGAGACCAUGGAGGUUGGCUGAGCCACAGCCCUGCCAUGACUCCCACAUACCAAGGACGUUCUAGAACAGCAGCCGUGGGCUGCUCAGUGCUGCUGCUCACCUCCCUUCUCUUUCUCUCUGCAAGAAGCACCCAUCUGGUGACAUGACC